ACGCUGGCGGCAGGCCUAACACAUGCAAGUCGAGCGGUAGAGAGAAGCUUGCUUCUCUUGAGAGCGGCGGACGGGUGAGUAAUGCCUAGGAAUCUGCCUGGUAGUGGGGGAUAACGUUCGGAAACGGACGCUAAUACCGCAUACGUCCUACGGGAGAAAGCAGGGGACCUUCGGGCCUUGCGCUAUCAGAUGAGCCUAGGUCGGAUUAGCUAGUUGGUGGGGUAAUGGCUCACCAAGGCGACGAUCCGUAACUGGUCUGAGAGGAUGAUCAGUCACACUGGAACUGAGACACGGUCCAGACUCCUACGGGAGGCAGCAGUGGGGAAUAUUGGACAAUGGGCGAAAGCCUGAUCCAGCCAUGCCGCGUGUGUGAAGAAGGUCUUCGGAUUGUAAAGCACUUUAAGUUGGGAGGAAGGGUUGUAGAUUAAUACUCUGCAAUUUUGACGUUACCGACAGAAUAAGCACCGGCUAACUCUGUGCCAGCAGCCGCGGUAAUACAGAGGGUGCAAGCGUUAAUCGGAAUUACUGGGCGUAAAGCGCGCGUAGGUGGUUAGUUAAGUUGGAUGUGAAAUCCCCGGGCUCAACCUGGGAACUGCGUUCAAAACUGACUGACUAGAGUAUGGUAGAGGGUGGUGGAAUUUCCUGUGUAGCGGUGAAAUGCGUAGAUAUAGGAAGGAACACCAGUGGCGAAGGCGACCACCUGGACUGAUACUGACACUGAGGUGCGAAAGCGUGGGGAGCAAAC
Molecule: ribosomal RNA, 745 nt
Filed under: uncultured bacterium
Lineage: Bacteria
Description: bacterial SSU rRNA
Rfam family: Bacterial small subunit ribosomal RNA
Source: RNAcentral